Athelia sp. TMB is the source of this 74-nucleotide non-coding RNA. NCBI's taxonomy places the organism in Eukaryota, Fungi, Basidiomycota, Agaricomycetes, Atheliales, Atheliaceae. The record is from the annotation of a GenBank genome assembly.
GGUACCUUGGUGUAUAUGGUUAUCACAUCAGUCUAACACACUGAAGGUGGCCAGAUCGAUGCUGGCAGGUAUCA